UGAGGAAUAUUGCACAAUGGGCGCAAGCCUGAUGCAGCGACGCCGCGUGUGGGAUGAAGGGGCUACGCCUCGUAAACCACUGUAGCCCGGGACGAAAAACGCCUUAGAGGUGUUAGACGGUACCGGGAAAGUAAGGGUCGGCUAACUACGUGCCAGCAGCCGCGGUAAUACGUAGGACCCAAGCGUUGUCCGGAUUUACUGGGUGUAAAGGGUGCGCAGGCGGAUGGGUAAGUCAGGGGUGAAAGUCUGCAGCUUAACUGUAGAAUUGCCUUUGNCACUGCUCAUCUUGAGUGUGGGAGAGGUUGAUGGAAUUCCAGGUGUAGCAGUGAAAUGCGUAGAUAUCUGGAAGAACACCAGUGGCGAAGGCGGUCAACUGGCCCAUAACUGACGCUCAUGCACGAAAGCGUGGGGAGCAAACA
Molecule: ribosomal RNA, 419 nt
Filed under: uncultured bacterium
Lineage: Bacteria
Description: bacterial SSU rRNA
Rfam family: Bacterial small subunit ribosomal RNA
Source: RNAcentral